Molecule: ribosomal RNA, 244 nt
Filed under: uncultured bacterium
Lineage: Bacteria
Description: partial 16S ribosomal RNA
Rfam family: Bacterial small subunit ribosomal RNA
Source: RNAcentral
AUACGUAGGGGGCGAGCGUUGUCCGGAAUUACUGGGCGUAAAGGGUGCGUAGGUGGCCUUUAAGUUGGAUGUGAAUACCCGGGCUUAACCUGGGGGUGCAUCUAAUACUGGGAGGCUAGAGUGCAGGAGAGGAAAGCGGAAUUCCUAGUGUAGCGGUGAAAUGCGUAGAUAUUAGGAGGAACACCAGUGGCGAAGGCGGCUUUCUGGACAGUAACUGACGCUGAGGCGCGAAAGCGUGGGGAGC